CAUGCUUUACACAUGCAAUCGACGGCAGGCGGGAGCAAUCCUGCGGCGAGUGGCGAACGGGNAGUAAUACAUCGGAACGUGCCCAAUCGUGGGGGAUAACGCAAGCGAAAGCUGUGCUAAUACCGCAUAAGAUCUACGGAUGAAAGCAGGGGAUCGCAAGACCUUGCGCGAAUGGAGCGGCCGAUGGCAGAUUAGGUAGUUGGUGAGGUAAAGGCUCACCAAGCCUUCGAUCUGUAGCUGGUCUGAGAGGACGACCAGCCACACUGGGACUGAGACACGGCCCAGACUCCUACGGGAGGCAGCAGUGGGGAAUUUUGGACAAUGGGCGCAAGCCUGAUCCAGCCAUGCCGCGUGCAGGAUGAAGGCCUUCGGGUUGUAAACUGCUUUUGUACGGAACGAAAAGUCUCUUUCUAAUAAAGAGGGAUCAUGACGGUACCGUAAGAAUAAGCANC
RNAcentral lists this ribosomal RNA (452 nucleotides) under bacterium TSA-14.2. Its description in RNAcentral is "bacterial SSU rRNA". It matches the Rfam family "Bacterial small subunit ribosomal RNA", at positions 43 to 494 of the family's 1533-position model. The record is from RNAcentral.